Molecule: long non-coding RNA, 307 nt
Organism: Macadamia integrifolia
Lineage: Eukaryota; Viridiplantae; Streptophyta; Magnoliopsida; Proteales; Proteaceae
Exons: 3
Source: RefSeq, a predicted model, not a curated record
CAAAAAGGUACAAUUAAAGGGAGAUAGUGCAAGAUGUGACAAAUGUAACACUGAUGAUACAAAAUAUACACAAAAGUAUAUGGGAAGAUUCAAGGUGACAGAUUCAACUGAUACAAUAAUUGUUACAAUCUUUGAGAAUCUUGAAACAAUUACAGGAUGUUCAGCAAGUGAAUAUGCAAGAUCACCAGAAAAGUACUCACAGAUUAUACAUUCAUGUCUAUCCAAACAAUAUUGUUUCUACUUCAAAAUGGAUGCAAGAAAUGAUGGAAGUCGAAUAACAAGACAAAUUGUUGCGGAUACCAUUAAA